AUUGAACGCUGGCGGCAGGCCUAACACAUGCAAGUCGAACGGUAACAGGAAGAAGCUUGCUUCUUUGCUGACGCGUGGCGGACGGGUGAGUCAUGUCUGGGAAACUGCCUGAUGGAGGGGGAUAACUACUGGAAACGGUAGCUAUAACCGCAUAACGUCUCAAGACCAAAAAGGGGGACCUUCGGGCCUCUUGCCAUCGGCUGUGCCCAGAUGGGAUUAGCUAGUAGGUGGGGUAACGGCUCACCUAGGCGACGAUCCCUAGCUGGUCUGAGAGGAUGACCAGCCACACUGGAACUGAGACACGGUCCAGACUCCUACGGGAGGCAGCAGUGGGGAAUAUUGCACAAUGGGCGAAAGCCUGAUGCAGCCAUGCCGCGUGUAUGAAGAAGGCCUUCGGGUUGUAAAGUACUUUCAGCGGGGAGGAAGGGAGUAAAGUUAAUCCAUUUGCUCAUUGACGGUACCCGAAGAAGAAGCACCGGCUAACUACGUG
This 490-nucleotide ribosomal RNA is filed under the name uncultured bacterium. RNAcentral describes it as "partial 16S ribosomal RNA". It matches the Rfam family "Bacterial small subunit ribosomal RNA", at positions 30 to 507 of the family's 1533-position model. The record is from RNAcentral.